UCUCUGCUACAUCAUGUCUGCAAGCAAUGCACACACUUGUAUUUGGAUUAUACUGUGGAUUUUCUUAACAGUAUGUGCAGAAGGGAACCAAGUGGAUCAAUAUCCAUUAAUCACAGCGAGAGAGAAAGAGACUGCUCAGAUAAAGUGUAAUCACAGCAUUACUAAUGCUAACAGCUUGUACUGGUACAAGCACAUUAAUGGGAGAGCCUUAGUUAUGGUCAUCUCCGGAUUCAGUACAGAUUCAUCUAAUGGCAGGUUUCACAUGGCCAUCGAUCGCAGUCAGAGAUCUACAGAGCUGUCUAUUGAGUCAGUGGAGAUAAAGGACUCAGCUACGUAUUACUGUGCUGUGGAGCCCACAGUGAUACAGACUGGGAGGAACCUUGUACAUAUACUACAGAAUGCUCCUGACUGUAUACAAUAUGAAUACAUACAUGUAAGGAAAAAGGUUAAAAUAUAGUGACAAGCAUUUAAAUUGGUAGAUUGCAAUUAUCUCUCUUUGUUUUAAUCAAUAUAUCUAUUUGUUUAUAAAAAAAAGCAGAGCAGUUGAAUCAAAAUUAGUUAAAUUGCAUCAUAAUGUGUGUCAAAGUUUUCAAAAAGUGCAUAGUAUUAAUUCAAGAUGCAAUGAUAAAAAUUAUAAUAAUCUAUGGUAGGAGUGAGUUUAGGAAUUUGAAAGAUUUCAAUUUUUUUAGCACUGUAUUUUCUUUCAAAUCUAUUACACAAUUCCUGGCAAAAUAUUGGACAUUUUUAGUAAAACUAUAAAUUAUUAAAUAAAUCAAAUAACAGCAAUAGAACAUGUAGUUUGUUGCAAGUCUCCAAGACUAGAUUCUACUAGUUAUUAUUACCAAAAUGAAUGGCACUCAGUUUAUUGACCUCACAUUUACAGAAAUUGAAUCUAUGACUCUGAUAUACUCUGUAGAUGGAGCAAAACAAACGACCUACAAUUUUUGUGUUUGCCUACGGAUUCUUUACUAUCUUUGUAAUACCCAGUAGUUGUCCAACGGUGGCAGUAUUAUGUAUAAAAUGUAAAAUGUAUAAAACAGACAGACACCUAUAAAUAUAAAAAACAAAAAAACAAAUGGAAAAUCUAUGAGUAUGCUAUGUUAAUGUUGGAACUGGAAACAGUAGGUUGUGGAGAAAGCAGAUUAGUCAUCCCGUAGCAUCAAAUAA
Non-coding RNA from Pelobates fuscus (common spadefoot toad), 1167 nucleotides. The record is from the annotation of a RefSeq genome assembly. NCBI's taxonomy places the organism in Eukaryota, Metazoa, Chordata, Amphibia, Anura, Pelobatidae.